UACGUAGGGGGCAAGCGUUGUCCGGAUUUAUUGGGCGUAAAGAGCGUGUAGGCGGUUUGGUAGGUCCGCUGUGAAAACUCGAGGCUCAACCUCGAGACGCCGGUGGAAACCAUCAGACUAGAGUCCGGAAGAGGAGAGCGGAAUUCCUGGUGUAGCGGUGAAAUGCGCAGAUAUCAGGAAGAACACCCGUGGCUAAGGCGGCUCUCUAGUACGGUACUGACGCUGAGACGCGAAAGCGUGGGGAGCGAACAGG
This 253-nucleotide ribosomal RNA is filed under the name uncultured bacterium. Its description in RNAcentral is "partial 16S ribosomal RNA". It matches the Rfam family "Bacterial small subunit ribosomal RNA", at positions 524 to 776 of the family's 1533-position model. The record is from RNAcentral.